RNAcentral lists this transfer RNA (73 nucleotides) under Felis catus (domestic cat). It matches the Rfam family "tRNA". Rfam says of the family: Transfer RNA (tRNA) molecules are approximately 80 nucleotides in length. Their secondary structure includes four short double-helical elements and three loops (D, anti-codon, and T loops). Lineage: Eukaryota; Metazoa; Chordata; Mammalia; Carnivora; Felidae. RNAcentral also lists the same sequence under 4 other names. The record is from Rfam by way of RNAcentral.
GCCUAGUUGGCUCAGUUGGUGGAGCAUGUGACUCUUGAUCGCAAGGUCAUGAGUUUGAGCCCCAUGUUGGAUG